CUAUCACCUCGGGGUGGAGAAGUGAAAAACUUACUAGCUUUGCCAGUUUGACUGUCAGAGAGAGCUGCAUUCAAAUUCUGACCCCAAUCCUUGCUAUCUACGUAACAGACAAGUUAAUUAAACUUUCUUAAUCUGACAGGGAAAACGUUGCCACUUUGGCUGGUUUUAAGUAUAUAAUUUAGCAAAUCAUACUUAUCUUUGACUAAGUUGCAGACUGUAGGUUGGGUAUUUAGAAAUUAGAGCACCUACGGAUCAGAUACGCCCAUUUAUAUUUUUAGUGGGGAAAGACAUGCAGUGGGAUCCCAAGCCUGUCUUUUGUGAGCCUUUAUUGACUAAGCUUUCUGCCUUUUCCUUUCUAAAACCUUUUAGAAAUUAAGAACAUCCAGGCACUUCCUUUGGCAAGUCUGACACAUACACAAGGGAGAGGACAUAAAUAAUUUCCAUACUCUUCAAUGAAAGUGAAUGUGUAACAUAUAAAACAAUGGGCCAGGUGCGGUGGCUCACGCCUGUAAUCACAGCACUUUGGGAAGCCGAAAUGGGUGGAUCACGAGGUUAGGAGUUUGAGAGCAGCCUGGCCAGCAUAGUGAAACCCCGUCUCUACUAAAAAUACAAAAAUUAGCCGGGCAGGAUGGUGGGCGCCUGUAAUCCCAGCAACUCAGGAGGCUGAGGCAGGAGAAUUGCUUGAACCUGGGAGAUGGAGGUUGCAGUGUGCUGGGACUGCGCCACUGCACUCCAGCCUGGGUGACAGAGCAAGACUCCAUCUCGGGGGUAGCGGGGAGAGGGGAAAGAAUGGUGGCUAGUCAAACAGUCCUUUCCAGUAACAAGGUCUCAGGCACCCAUCUCAGAAGAUUUAUUACAUGCUGCCCCCACCAUUGACCCCAAAGGAGACUGACUCUGCAAACAGCUCAAAUCAUAGUCAUCCUCUUCAUUUCCUGUGUGUCCCUCCCACUCCUCUCACUAACACGUAAUACCAUAGCCACAUCAGUCAGUGGUUAGGAUGCUGGGUUAAUUUUACUCCCAAGGAAAGUGACGCCUGAGAGAAAGAGCCAUUUGUUUGUCUUUUUAAUUUCAGCUUCUUCCUAAAUAAGACAGCCUUUUAGAAAGACUUUCACAGUGUCAGGUUAGUUACCUAAAUCUUAGGUAACUUUAGGUUAGUUACCUAAAGUCACUCUGUGACUUCAUCCUGAUAUAAAGGAACAAGGAAGAGAGUCGGAUUAGGCUAACUCACUAUGAUGGGGUAACACAUAGAAAAGGCACGGAGAAGUUAAGUGAUUUGCCUGUGGUCACAAAGCCUGUUAGCAGCAAACCCAGAACAAGAACCUAAGAUUUAUGACCGCCAGUUCCAGCUGUUUUUCUUCGUCAUGUAUCCUCAGCAAUCAACAUAAUCAAAAUCUGUUUGGAGACUACUGAUUUGUAUAAAGGAAGAUAACACCGAACAACCAAACAGGAAGUAAUCCAGCGAAUCUGGAACAGCGGUGGAAUUUAGAAGCAAGGCCAGAUGAGGACCCUAAGACCUAGAGAAACUAAGUCAUUUGCUCAAGAAGACAAAGAAUUGGCUGCCAUAACUCAGUGUUCCCGGGACCUGCAGUGGGCAGAGCACCAGCACAACCCGUAGAAAGCAGCUCCAAGAUCAGCACCCUCUCAUAAACCUACCGAGCCAGGAGCAUCUUCCAGGCCCUCCACUCUCAGGAGUUUCAAGGAGAAAACAAAAUGCUGAGGACUGGGAAUGAGAAGCUUCAACCUUGCACAAUCUCUACAUUUUGCUUUACUCCCAAGAGGGACGAAUGAAGAAUGUUGUUAUUGAUGCUAUGACCACUUCUCUCCCAUAUUGUGCCCAGUAAACAUGGUCUUACUCAUUAUUGAA
This 1864-nucleotide long non-coding RNA is filed under the name Homo sapiens (human). RNAcentral describes it as "HSALNT0342024". The record is from RNAcentral. Lineage: Eukaryota; Metazoa; Chordata; Mammalia; Primates; Hominidae.